UAAAAUGUCAAAGGCAAGGUUACUUCAUAACAUGCUACAUUAAAAAAGGAGUUCUCAGGGCUGCCAACCUUACAGUUGAGGUUGAGUGGUAGUAUAUUUCUCCUACAUAA
This 110-nucleotide small nucleolar RNA is filed under the name Microcebus murinus (gray mouse lemur). RNAcentral's name for it is "Small nucleolar RNA U109 (ENSMICG00000025222.3)". It matches the Rfam family "Small nucleolar RNA U109", at positions 24 to 134 of the family's 134-position model. The record is from Rfam by way of RNAcentral. Lineage: Eukaryota; Metazoa; Chordata; Mammalia; Primates; Cheirogaleidae.